RNAcentral lists this ribosomal RNA (272 nucleotides) under uncultured bacterium. Its description in RNAcentral is "partial 16S ribosomal RNA". It matches the Rfam family "Bacterial small subunit ribosomal RNA", at positions 793 to 1055 of the family's 1533-position model. The record is from RNAcentral.
GUCCACGCCGUAAACGAUGAUCACUAGACGUUAGUUCUGUUUUACGGGAUUAGUGUCGUAGCUCACGCGUUAAGUGAUCCGCCUGGGAAUUACGGUCGCAAGAUUAAAAACUCAAAAGGAAUUGACGGGGGCCCGCACAAGCGGUGGAACAUGUGGUUUAAUUCGAUACUACGCGAGGAACCUUACCUAGGCUUGACAUGUAUUUGACCGUCGUGGAAACACGAUCUUUAGGCUUCGGUCUAACAAAUACACAGGUGCUGCAUGGCUGUCGU